Lethenteron reissneri (Far Eastern brook lamprey) is the source of this 256-nucleotide long non-coding RNA. RefSeq lists it as uncharacterized. The record is from RefSeq and is a predicted model, not a curated record. NCBI's taxonomy places the organism in Eukaryota, Metazoa, Chordata, Hyperoartia, Petromyzontiformes, Petromyzontidae.
UUCAGGUGAGUCGUCUACUCCUGCUGCAGCUGCGGGUUCAGAUUCAGGUGACUCGUCCACUCCUGCUGCAGCUGCAGGUUCAGAUUCAGGUGAGUCGUCUACUCCUGCUGCAGCUGCAGGUUCAGAUUCAGGUGAGUCGUCUACUCCUGCUGCAGCUGCGGGUUCAGAUUCACGUGAGUCAUCUACUCCUGCUGCAGCUGCAGGUUCAGAUUCAGGUGACUCGUCUACUCCUGCUGCAGCUGCGGGUUCAGAUUCA